Gastrolobium bilobum is the source of this 84-nucleotide small nucleolar RNA. RefSeq annotates it as small nucleolar RNA snoR116. The record is from RefSeq and is a predicted model, not a curated record. The transcript has a single exon. Lineage: Eukaryota; Viridiplantae; Streptophyta; Magnoliopsida; Fabales; Fabaceae.
UGGCAGUGAUGACGAAUUUAUAUAUACCAUCAAACUAUGAAAGCUAAAUUGAGCUUGUUGAUGCCAUCGAUAAUCUCUGAGCCU